Non-coding RNA from Potamilus streckersoni, 78 nucleotides. The record is from the annotation of a GenBank genome assembly. Lineage: Eukaryota; Metazoa; Mollusca; Bivalvia; Unionida; Unionidae.
GACCAUUCCGGUGGCUUAAGUGGUCAAAGCGUCCGCCUCUGAUGCAGGAUGUCAUGUGUUCGAACCCCGGCUGAGUCA